AACGAACGCUGGCGGCAUGCCCAACACAUGCAAGUCGAACGAAGGCUUCGGCCUUAGUGGCGCACGGGUGCGUAACGCGUGAGAAUCUGCCCCUCGGUUCGGAAUAACAGUUAGAAAUGACUGCUAAUACCGGAUGAUGACUUCGGUCCAAAGAUUUAUCGCCGAGGGAUGAGCCCGCGUAAGAUUAGGUAGUUGGUGGGGUAAAGGCCUACCAAGCCGACGAUCUUUAGCUGGUCUGAGAGGAUGAUCAGCCACACUGGGACUGAGACACGGCCCAGACUCCUACGGGAGGCAGCAGUGGGGAAUAUUGGACAAUGGGCGAAAGCCUGAUCCAGCAAUGCCGCGUGAGUGAUGAAGGCCUUAGGGUUGUAAAGCUCUUUUACCAGGGACGAUAAUGACAGUACCUGGAGAAUAAGCUCCGGCUAACUCCGUGCCAGCAGCCGCGGUAA
Molecule: ribosomal RNA, 449 nt
Filed under: uncultured bacterium
Lineage: Bacteria
Description: partial 16S ribosomal RNA
Rfam family: Bacterial small subunit ribosomal RNA
Source: RNAcentral